GAUGAACGCUGGCGGCGUGCCUAAUACAUGCAAGUCGAGCGAACAGACGAGGAGCUUGCUCCUCUGACGUUAGCGGCGGACGGGUGAGUAACACGUGUAUAACCUACCUAUCAGACUGGGAUAUCUUCGGGAAACCGGAGCUAAUACCGGAUAAUAUAUUGAACCGCAGUGUUCAAUAGUGAAAUACGGCUUUUCUGUCACUUAUAGAUGGUUCUGCGCCGCAUUAGCUAGUUGGUAAGGUAACGGCUUACCAAGGCUACGAUGCGUAGCCGACCUGAGAGGGGGAUCGGCCACACUGGAACUGGGACACGGUCCAGACUCCUACGGGAGGCAGCAGUAGGGAAUCUGCCGCAAUGGGCGAAAGCCUGACGGAGCAACGCCGAGUGAGUGAUGACGGUCUUCGGAUCGUAAAACUCUGUUAUUAGGGAAGAACAAAUGUGUAAGUAACUAUGCACGUCUUGACGGUACCUAAUCAGAAAGCCACGGCUAACUACGUG
RNAcentral lists this ribosomal RNA (497 nucleotides) under uncultured bacterium. RNAcentral describes it as "partial 16S ribosomal RNA". It matches the Rfam family "Bacterial small subunit ribosomal RNA", at positions 28 to 507 of the family's 1533-position model. The record is from RNAcentral.